AAUGCUGCUUGGAGAAUGCUCUAAAUGACAAAGCAGAGAGAGAAAAACAAAUUUAAGACUUCUGGAAAACUCAGGUUAACAUUUUGCAAACCCAUUUCUGAAUAUGCUCAAAUGUAGGCAAAAUCUUUCUUAAAGUCAUCAAGAGCAAGAAGGCAAAGUGUCUUCAAGGAGCCUUUCACAGUCCUCUCCUACUCAAUUUUGGCUUUAUCAGAUCGAGUCAGGCUGUAUUUUAAUGCAGCACUUUGUUAUCACUCAGCACGUGGGCAGGGAUCUGUGAACAGAUGCAUCUGAGGAUAGCAAUGGGCAUGUUGUUUUGGGCCACAGAAGCUGGAGAACCCCCAGAGUGUACUUAAUAGAACUGAAGAUGGGUGGGGUCUCAGCUCAAGAAGGGGUUGUCUGGUGAGAGGUCUUUCUGAAGAGAAGACCCAAUCUCUGAAGAUCUCCCCUGUGGACCAAAGGGCAGAUUUGUGUUGUGUGGCCCCAGAGGACCAAGGCAGAACCAAAAGGGAAACAGGAUUUGGUUCUUGCUACUGGGUACCUCAGGAAGUAGUGAAACCCCUGACUCUGGCGUAUCAGUAACAAACACUAGAUGGCCACUGCUGGAAAGCUGUAGAGGGGGCUCUUGUGUUGUGUGAUGCCAGAACCAGAUUAGAGAGUCUACAGGGCAAUAAAAGAAUAUUUUCCCCUGGAAGGAAGUUUUCUGGUAUCAGCAUUUUGAGUUCCCAGCAAGGGCUCAUUCUGAAAAGGUCAGAGCACAUAAGCAAGGUGACCUCCUAAAGAUGGAGACUUAUCUGUUCUUAUGCUCUUCUCUGGAGAUUAGCACAAUGUUUAAUCAGUGAAUGGAUGGAAUGAAUGAAUAUUGAUCUGCCCUGUAAGGAAGAUGGUGAGGUAUGUGAUGCAAGCAGAGUAGUGGGGAAAGGCUAGAUAAGUACGUUGGGGCAAGAUUAAGAAGGACAUUAGAUGCCAGACAGAAGAACUUGCACUUAAUAUGGCAAGCUAGCACACAUGUAGCCAAAACCUAGGAAAUGGUUAGCUCAUGCUCCCAAGUAUCCCCAACUCACACAUCACCUAUCUUUUUGCUCACAUCCCAAGUCCCCCUCAUCUCACACUCUAAACUUCCCAAGGUCCCACUCCAAAUAUCUUCUAGCUCCAGAUAGCUGUGAAGCAUUUCUAUGGAGUCUUUUCAAGAUCUAAUCCUUGCUAGAACCAACCGAUCAACAGCAUUGAUCAGCUCACACAAUCUCUCCAAGACUGUGACAAAAACAACAAACAUCAGCAAAGACUGAUGUUCCCCUUCUACAGUAGAGCUGCUGCCAAAGCAGUAUCUUUGUGAGAGGCUGUGUUUCCCAGUCUCUCUUUCAUCUAGGAGGGGACUAGGGGAUUUAAUUUUCACAAAUAAGACAAUAAAACCAAUAUGUCUCACUUCUGUGUCUUUAAGUUUAAGAAGUAGGUGUGUCUUCUCCAUGGUCUCUUUAAUCAUCAACCAGAUGCGUGGAGAGGCCCUGAGCUCAACCUUAGAAAGAGCCUGGGAGGCUGUCACAGAUGCCUCAUUGAAUUCUGCCAUCAAUGGGAAAUAAAUGUUGAUUGGGUUAAGCCACUGAAAAUUUGAGGUUGUUUAUCAAGUUAGAUUAUCCCAACUCAUAGACACCCAGUUGGACUCAUAUAGAGCCCCCAGUGGACUUAGGAUCAAGGAUCAAGGAGCACCUAGAAGUGCCUGGCACUAAGACAGAACUCAAUAAAAACUUGGCAGAUACAUAAAUCAAAAUUCUCCGGGUCCUCAACACUUUGAUAGAGUCUCUAACUGACUCAUCCAUUCCCCUCUGAUAGAUACAGCCUCAAAUUAGAUCCUAACUUUAGAGAAGGGCAUUGAGGGAGGGCAAGCGUAAAUGGGCACAGAUACAGGAAUCUGAGGCACAAAAAUUUCCGAAGACAAUUUUGUGAUGGUUUUUGGUCCUUCCUGGAACACUCUCUCUUUGCCAACAUUUUGAGCUGCCUCACUGACCUCAUGGCUGCCAGCUGCAAAGCCCAUUUCAUUCCACAUUUAGUGAUACCCUCCUCAUGCCAAGUACUGAGGGUACAAUAACUAAGACAUGGCUCCCCAAGGAGCAUGUAGAUGAGAGGGGUGCAUAAGCCUAAUGCUCUAGAGAGACUGAGUACUGCUGAGUCAUGCUGAGGAACUGGAAAUAGUACUACUCCUAUCCUAGGAACAAGAAGCCAGCCAAACUCCAAGAUUAUAACUUUUCCUAAACCCAUCAAAGAGCUGAGGUUUCAAGGCAACAAAGUAGCCUGAAAUCUAAGAAAACACAGAAUCUUCAGAGAAGAGACAAUAUGGUCAUUGGUUCUUCUGUGACAGGGUGUGGGAAGAAGACAUACCAGGUAUAAGAAGAAUUCAGCUACAAUUUUAAAUAAAUCACUGGAGCUUGAGUGUGGGCUAGCUUGGGAGACGUCGAGACAAUCAAAACCACAGACAUAAGAGGAAUUCACACAAAUUCACAAACUCUUCAAGAAUCUCUACCAGGUGGUCUCAAGAAAGAUGGGGUGGGGGUAGGGGACAGGUGAAACAACAGGAGAAAGUUUCCUCACUGCUGCAGUCAUGAAGGUAGGAGCAGCUGGUGCUACAGGGGAAAAAAGCUCUGUCCAGAACCUUUUACCCUGUGGCCUUAAGCCACCAAGGGAAGGGCAAAUCCUGUCACCCCAGGGAACCCAUUGUAACUGGGGAAAGAGUACAAGAUGAAAACCUCUGCUUCUGAGGAGGGGCAGGAAACCAACUAGGGUCCAGAUGAUUAGAGGUCUUCUGCCCCCAUGGGAGGAGAACAGGAAACUCUCUUUAGCACAGGAACAGUCUGAAAUACAUGGCAGGGUUUGGCUGCCACAGCAGGGAGGGACAAGAUUACUGAGAAAGCUCAAAUGCCAAAAUCAAGGGGCACAUCAAAACUGCUUAAGACUGAGGCUGGAUCAGAACAAUAAAAAAAAACCCUGCCCCUACCCCCAGCAGGCUACUCAGGCCGAGAGACACUGAAUCACCAGAAACAGCAGUCUGCUGCUGAGGGGCGAGCAAGAGCAUGAAGAAAGAAACUCUCUGAGGUACACAGGAAAGGCCCAGAGCUGAGGAUGGAGCAGGAACGUUGAGAAAAACACUUACCCUAAGCACAAAGUAAAGCUAGAGAAAUUUGAAGCCACUAGUGCACUAAAGGUAACCAUGGCAACAGUAAGACCCAAAACCAGUUUAGCUAACUAGAUUAAUUUCAAACCCUACACAUGAAGCCUAGCAGAAAAAAAGGUAUGCCCGUUUCCUGGAAUAAAUAUUAUCUAGCUUCAUAUUUAUUGUCCUGCACAGGAUGUCCAGCCUUUAAUCAAAGAUUAUGAAACCCCUGGAAGAAAGCAAUAAAAAACAACUGUCAAGAAACAAAGCAAUCAACAGUUUCCAAGAUUACUCAGAUGUUGGAUCUAAUAGACAAGGGAUUUAAAAUAGCUACAACUGAUAAGUUAGAGAGUCUAAUGGAAAGAGUGAACAAUAUGCAUUAAAAAAAUGGGGGAAUUUCAGCAGAGAGAUGGAUAUCUAAGGAAGAAUCAGUUAGAAAUGCUAUAAAUAAACAGCAUUGUGACGGAGAUGGAGAAUGUCUUUGAUAGCUCAUCGAUAGAAUAGACACAGCCAAGGAAUGAAUCAGUGAACUUGAAUAUAGGUCACUAGAAAUUACCCAGACUGAAAGAGAAACAGAAAAAAAAGGACAAAGAGGAAUGAAUGCAUCUAAGAGCUAUGUGACUAUAUCAGAUGAUCCCUUACAUGAGUAAUAGGCAUCUCAGAAGGAGAAGGGAAAAAUUAUAGGGCAGGAAAAAUAUUUGAGAAGACAGCCAAAAAGAAUUCUAAAAAUAAUGAAAUACAUUAAGCCACACAUCCAAAAAUCCUCAGGAACCUCAAGCGGAACAAGUAUGAGCCUUCCAACACCGAAACUUAUCCAGUCUUAUAAUGCAGGUCAGCUGGUAAUGAAUUCUCCCAGCUUUUGUUUAGCUUAAAAAGCCUUUCUGAAUGUGUCAUUUUAAGAUGCCCCCCCCCAUUGUCUUCUGGCUUACAUAGUUUCUUGUGAGUGACCCGCUGUAAUUCUUAUCUUUGUUCAUCUGUAUUUAAUAUCUCUUUUUUUCUUGCCUCCUUCAAUAUUUCCUCUUUAUCUUUGGUUUUCAGUAGCAGGAAGUAGGGAUGAAGAGUGUAGUGAAUUUUUUCCCACCAGUGCCUUACAUUACAAAUGCCAUACAUUCAUUAAAUAUUAUCUCCCAAACAACAGAGAAGUUGACAACAACAUACAGAUAGAGUCAGUAAUGCAUUCACGGGCAUAGCACGCAGCAAGAAUCAGGAGUGUGUGUGUGUAGGUAUCUCAAUUCUCAAUUAGUACUCAAAUCUGUUCUGAAAACACAGAUGAUCAAAUCAAAGGAUAUAUGUGUUUCCAUCACCUAUAUAGAGUGAGGAGGGUAAUAAGACAAUCACAGUGCGCUGAGAAAUAUAUUCAAUUGAGAAAUCAAUAAAGGAUCCUCCUGCUGGUAUCACUGGGCAUGUGGUGUGGUUAUCCAAAUUCAAGUAAGCAGUACGAAGAUCUUCAGCGAGCUGCAAGUCACCCACGUCUUAUUUAUGGUCUGAUUUGCUCAAAGUACAGGAGAGUAUGUGAUACUAAAUAUUAAAUACUAGGAACGAUUAAGCUGGCGUAAGGCAAUGUUUCUUCUAAGGUUAUGCUUUUUAGCCAUCCCAAGUAUCUAAGAACAGGAAUGAUUUCUGCCAGCUGACUAGAAUGAUUAAAAGGAAGGUUUUUUUUUUAAGAUUUUAUUUAUUUAUUCAUGAUAGACACACAGAGAGAAAGAGAGAGGCAGAGACACAGGCAGAGGGAGAAGCAGGCUCCACGCAGGAAGCCCGAUGUGGGACUCGAUUCUGGGUCUCCAGGAUCAGGCCCUGGGCUGAAGGCGGCGCUAAACCGCUGAGCCACCCAGGAAUCCCCCCCCCUCUCUUUUUUUUUUUUUUAUAUGGAUCUCAUUCUUGUCAUAACAGAUUGGAUCCAGGAUGGCUUGGUUUCAGAGCACCUCACAUUCUUCUUUUAAGUCUUUCCAUCCCUUGAUAGUCUGUUUCCUUUGGAACUGGAGAUCAUCAGGAACACCAAAUUCUCAUGGUUAUAGAUGAUCAAGUCUCAAAGGUAGUGUGCAGGUAAGGGACACCAAAGACUUCUCCUCUGCCUGUUUUAAUUUCAGGUCAGUGGACAUCACAUGUGUCAUGGAGAGACGGGCUAGGAGAAGGGCGUUAAUACCAACCCAUUACAUUUUAACACAUCAACUUUAUAGGUCAGUGCUUCCUGCAGUUCAGUAAAAAUAUACCAAAAAAAAGGGGGGUGGGGUGGCAAAGGGCAUGAGAAGUCCACAGAAAAAUAAAAACAAAUGACUAAUAAAUACAUGAAAAGAUUUUCAACCUCACUCCUAAACAAGGGAGAAUAAGUUUAAAGAACCCAACAGCAUUUUUUACUUUUCUGAUUGGCAAGGAUGAGAAAGUCUGGUGUUCCC
This 5535-nucleotide long non-coding RNA is filed under the name Canis lupus familiaris (dog). RNAcentral's name for it is "lncRNA (ENSCAFG00845030807.1)". Lineage: Eukaryota; Metazoa; Chordata; Mammalia; Carnivora; Canidae. The record is from RNAcentral.